AGUUUACGAAUUUUAAAAAACUUUUGAGUUUGAAAUAAACUUAAUUGCGAUCAUGUUUGUUACUAAACACUUACUUCUAUAUCAGCUAAUUGGCUCAGACAACAUGGCAAGUCGCUCGUCCAGUUGGCAGUGCCUCGAUGACUACGCGAGCGGACAGCUUUUUCCUGGUGUCAGAGCGUCAAACUAGUUUCUAAAUAUUAAUUUGGCCAACAUAAAACGUAAAUUGAUUGAGGCCAUUAAGCAGAAUCCGCGAUGGGGCGAAACGGGCUGGGCAGCCAGACGCAAAGCAAAAACAAAAACGAAAAUCAUUUGCACACCAAACAAAUGACGAUAAUUAAAUGUACUGUUAGCUGAUGACCAGAUAAUCACGGCGCUUCGCAAAUAGUCAUAUAGAUAUUUUAGUUCUUAGCUAACUGGAUAACAACCGCAAUUAUGAUAGGCAAGGUCCCAGGUCCGGCCGAGCUGCCAGCGCCAAUCAGCCGUAAGUAAAAUAAUAGCUAUGCAAACGAUAUAUUAAAUGAUCAAAUAGCCAAUUCGAUAAGUGAGAGAACAGCUCGUAUAUGGCACUUAAAAUAUUCAGUUUUACGAAAUAGGCCAAGCCAUCUGGAAUCGAGCUCUGUAGCGCACUCAGUGGCAGCCAAUGCUCGAUUGCAGUUUUUAGUGAAGCAUGCGAAAGGGUAGCACGAAAGCCACUUGGUAAUUAAACAGGUUUCAAAUUAACAUAAAAUUAAAUUAAAUAAAUAAAAGCGCUGGGCUCGGGCUCGGAACUGAGUGCCAGGCUGUCAGUUAGCCCCAGCUUGCCAGGUUGCCUCAGCUUGCCAGGUUGCUAAGUUGCCUGUAAACAUGUUUCAACGCCGCGCAAAAUUAGCAACUUGUAGCCGAGUGUCUCUGUCUGUCUGUGUCGGUGUAUGUGUGUGUGUGUGUGUGACUGUGCAACAUGUUGCCUGGCAGAAUGCCGACGCUUAUAGAUAAAUUUCUGUCAAAAUUGCUGAUUGACUUCAUUAAUAACCACGCGCCAAGACGCCAGCCGCAGUCAAAGUUUCAUUCGCUGCCGCUGCCGCUGCUGCUGCUGCCAGCUGACAACUCAACAAGGCAGCUGCUGAAAAGCAAGCAGCCUGCCGCAGGGGGAGGGAUGCGAGGAAAGCGUGGGCAAAUUAAUAGCAAACUUGUAGCUGACUGCUUGUAACCUGUUGGGAGGGUCCGCACGGUACCUGUAUCUGCAUCUGCAUCACCAUCGACUCUAGCAUCGACAUCGGCAUCGGCAUCGGCAUCGGCAUCUGCAUCAGUAUCUGAAUGCGGUGGCACGAUUGAUAAGUUGCUUGCUGCGUGGCCAUGUUCAAUGUCCAAAUGCUGGCACAACAUGUUCUGGAACUGGUCACACAAACACACACACACACACAGAGCUGUCCUCUACCCACCGCAGCAGCAACCAAAGAAAUCAGUGCGAAAAUUUAUGUUGGUCCGCUGGAAUUUUAAUGUGCGUUGCCUGCCAAUGAGGAAGCGAUUUUGCAUGCACAGCAUUUGGCCAUCGUCGUUGCCGUUAAAUGCCGUUUAAUUGCGUUACAAAAACCGUUUGCUUUUAAUUGGUCAACUUUUGGUACGCGACGGCUCGAGCUUCAGCUCCGUUCGAAUUAUAAAUGCCAGGCAGAUAGCUCAAUAAAUGUACAGAUUAGUUACAGACGCAAUCAAUCAGCAUCAAACGUUCGCCGCGCCAAAUUGUCAGUCGCAAAGCAGCAAAAAGCAGGAGAAUGAAAAGGAAGAAGAAGAAAAAAUUACAAAUCUGCGACUUGAUAAUAGACACUACACGCGAGUGCGCCAAGCCUGCAGAUCAAUCCUUUCUAUUCAACAAAUUACACUCACAAAUUGUGAAAUCCCAAUGACACUGGCUGAAAGUGUCUGUCGAACAGGAAGAGAGAGAAAAUCUGGAAGAGCGAUUUGUAUUUGCAACCAUACUUCAAUUCAAUCAUGUAUGGCUGACUCGUAUGACUUCUUUAUUUGCUCUAUCAUACCUUAACUCAUUUUCAUUAGAUUUGCAUUUCUGCCUAUUGUGAACCCCAAAUUUACUAAAGGAUAUUUCUUAAAAUUCAUGAGAAUUAAGGGCAAACCUUAGGCUAUUUCAGUUUCUCUUAAGGGCAAACAGAUCAUUUCUUCGUCUACACUUGUUCUUCAAUUAAAUUGAAUGCAAUAAAUAGUCAAAUGCGAAUCGCAUAGAAGUCAUCUCAUCAAACUCACGCGCCAUACUCUUGUUACUAUUGCAAGAGCUUCUUGCUUGUUCUGUUGAAUUAUCUGAUGGUGUCUGAAGUCUUACUUUCAGCUAGUAUCAUUGCAGUUGGCAUGCAUCGCGUGUGUAUCUGUUUAUGUGGGCUCGUAAUUUGGUUGCCUUUCACAAAAGACAUUUGACGUGACUAGCAACGGCCGGCAGCAGCAGCAAUCGCCGGCGGACCACGGACAGCCGACAGACUUUGUUGACAACGGACAUGGCACAUGGAAAACGGACAGCCUUCUCGUCGCACUCAGACGCAGUCGCAGUCAUUCACGUCCGACAGUUGGCAGACCGUUGAUCAUCAUCGUAUGUGCUAUGCAUUUUUUACGAGACACAAGAUGACGCCGUAGCCGUCACCAUAGCCAUAGCCAUAGCCAUAGCCAUAGCCGUGGCAGUGUUGAGCGCCAACUGUGAGCUACAUAAAUUUGUUGUGCUGGCCGGCGAAAGGCAGAAAUUAAAAUGCGCUUAUAAAGCAAUAAAUUGAACAUAAUAAUAAUAACGAAUAAUGACCACAUAAUGAAAUAAGAUGUGCGAUACGAAAUCCUACU
Drosophila mojavensis is the source of this 2811-nucleotide long non-coding RNA. RefSeq lists it as uncharacterized. NCBI's taxonomy places the organism in Eukaryota, Metazoa, Arthropoda, Insecta, Diptera, Drosophilidae. The record is from RefSeq and is a predicted model, not a curated record. The transcript has 2 exons.